AGUGAACGCUGGCGGUAGGCCUAACACAUGCAAGUCGAACGGCAGCACAGUAAGAUCUUGCUCUUACGGGUGGCGAGUGGCGGACGGGUGAGGAAUACAUCGGAAUCUACUUUUUCGUGGGUGAUAACGUAGGGAAACUUACGCUAAUACCGCAUACGACCUACGGGUGAAAGCAGGGGAUCUUCGCAGCUUUCGCGAUUGAAUGAGCCGAUGUCGGAUUAGCUAGUUGGCGGGGUAAAGGCCCACCAAGGCGACGAUCCGUAGCUGGUCUGAGAGGAUGAACAGACACACUGGAACUGAGACACGGUCCAGACUCCUACGGGAGGCAGCAGUGGGGAAUAUUGGACAAUGGGCGCAAGCCUGAUCCAGCCAUACCGCGUGGGUGAAGAAGGCCUUCGGGUUGUAAAGCCCUUUUGUUGGGAAAGAAAAGCAGCAGGUUAAUACCCCGCUGUUCUGACGGUACCCAAAGAAUAAGCACCGGCUAACUUCGUG
Molecule: ribosomal RNA, 492 nt
Filed under: uncultured bacterium
Lineage: Bacteria
Description: partial 16S ribosomal RNA
Rfam family: Bacterial small subunit ribosomal RNA
Source: RNAcentral